CCUACGGGAUGCAGCAGUAGGGAAUCUUUCACAAUGGGCGAAAGCCUGAUGGAGCAACGCCGCGUGCAGGAUGAAGGCCUUCGGGUUGUAAACUGCUUUUAUAAGCGAGAAAUAUGAUGGUAACUUAUGACUAAUGAUCGGCUACCUACGUGCCAGCAGCCGCGGUCAUACGUAGGAUCCGAGCAUUAUCCGGAGUGACUGGGUGUAAAGAGUUGCGUAGGUGGCAUAAUAAGUAGCUAGUGAAAUCUGGUGGCUCAAGCAUUCAGACUAUUAGCUAAACUGUUAAGCUCGAGAACGUGAGGGGUAACUGGAAUGUCUAGUGUAGGAGUGAAAUCCGUAGAUAUUAGAAGGAACACCAAUAGCGUAGGCAGGUUACUGGGACGGGUCUGACACUAAGGCACGAAAGCGUAGGGAGCAAACGGGAUUAGAUACCCUUGUAGUC
This 442-nucleotide ribosomal RNA is filed under the name uncultured bacterium. RNAcentral's name for it is "partial 16S ribosomal RNA". It matches the Rfam family "Bacterial small subunit ribosomal RNA", at positions 338 to 795 of the family's 1533-position model. The record is from RNAcentral.